GCGGCUUUAAACUUAGUUGUGCUAACAUGAUCACGAUUGUCUUUACCAGUCAGAUGACAUUUUACAGUCGACUGAUUGAUGAACGAUCUCUCAUCCACUUUGUGAUGAAGUUUAUUCGGAAGUCUAUAAAUACGGCCUCUGAAAGUCGCCUCUUGAUAGAGAAGACGAAUGUAAAACAAUCCAUCGAGGCCUGGAGACAGUACCUGAACAAAGAAGCUGAGAAAAACGGGCAUCAACAGCCUGAGAGAACAAGUCCUGGGGGACCUGACCCCCACCACCACUUCAUAAAUAACUAGAUUCUAGUUUUCUUAUGGGAGGUGGCUCCGUUGUACUCAUUAAAGAAGAUACCAUUAUCACAGCCCAGCAGCCAACAAGGUACCGCUACCUUUUUAGGUUGUCGAUGUCAAUAGCCAUAAAUCGGUAUUAUCUUUUUAUCGGAUGCCUAUUGACUUCUCAAAAUUAUUAUUUAAAAGUACAUUUCCCCAUGUUCAAACCCAAGCCUUGAUACCCGACUCUUCAGGGUAUGAGUUUGAAUAUUGAGAGACGCGGGUUUAGAUAAUAUAGUUUUGAGAAGUUAACAGGCAGCCAAAGAUGAUAAUGCCGACUUAUGAGCAUGAAACCCACGUCCUAAAAUAGCGAUAAUACGAAGUAAGUGGACAUGUAAAGAGAAUAAUACUAACUUAUGCAACGAAUACACAGUGAUAUCUUCUUUAAAGAGUUAAAAUAAAAUUCAUAUCUUCUUACAA
Long non-coding RNA from Gossypium arboreum, 746 nucleotides. RefSeq lists it as uncharacterized. The transcript has 2 exons. NCBI's taxonomy places the organism in Eukaryota, Viridiplantae, Streptophyta, Magnoliopsida, Malvales, Malvaceae. The record is from RefSeq and is a predicted model, not a curated record.